RNAcentral lists this long non-coding RNA (383 nucleotides) under Ursus maritimus (polar bear). RNAcentral's name for it is "lncRNA (ENSUMAG00000023626.1)". The record is from RNAcentral. Lineage: Eukaryota; Metazoa; Chordata; Mammalia; Carnivora; Ursidae.
CUCCCGUGUGGAGAGCCUCGUGGGCGGAAAGGGCAAGGACGGGGUCCCUGGGGACCAGAAGCCACCAGAGGAAGCCAGCUGUCGGCGGGCCUGGAAGGCUGGGGAGAAGUGGAGCCGGCUUGGCGAAGGAAGGAGACAGCUGGGAGGUUCUGGUUGGGGAAGCGAGGGUGAAUAGCAGCCCACGGUCACAGGGACACACUGUAGGCCUCCAUCAAAGUUGUCGGUUCUUGCUGGGAGAGCUGGAGGGGGCCGUGCUAUUUGAGACGGGGAAACCGAGGCCGAUGUCCACACACAGCCGCCCAUGUGCAAGGGGCUCUGUUGCAGACCUGGUGGCUGUGAAGCCUGUUCGGGGCUGAGAAACUGUUUUCUGGAACCUGGCUGAG